This 1405-nucleotide long non-coding RNA is filed under the name Salmo salar (Atlantic salmon). Its description in RNAcentral is "lncRNA (ENSSSAG00000118608.1)". The record is from RNAcentral. Lineage: Eukaryota; Metazoa; Chordata; Actinopteri; Salmoniformes; Salmonidae.
UCUUGUUUAGUGUUCUGGGGCCGCAUGUGUUGUUCUGGGUCUUAUUUAUAAGUUGUCUGCCUCCAACACAAUCCCCCCCCGGACAUUCCUACUUUAUAGACAACAACCCUAAGAGCAAUAAAAUAGGUGGGGUGUGGGGCCAUCCUCUUUGAAAUGUUCAAACACAACCCCCCAGUUCAACGAGGUCCCUACACAUCAAUCAUCAUGACAACUUCAAAGAGAUGCAAUAUAGAUAUAACACACACUCUAACACGUGACAGAACAGGAUGCAACUAUAUGGCCCUAACCACGUGACACCUUCCCGCCAGGAUGUCCUGACCGGAUGCCCUUAUUUGGGCAUGUACGCGCCAUCCGGACAUAGGGUCAUAAAUCACGAUUUUGACCGAUGCCGUCUACUUUAUUCUCUCUGCCCUUGAGUGUCCCAGCCAGAGCCCGGACUUGAACCCAAUCAAACAUCUCUGGAAGGACCUGAAAAUAGGUGUGCAGCGACGCUCCCCAUCCAACCUGACAGAGCUUGAGAGGAUCUGCAAAGAAGAAUGGGAGAAACUCCCCAAAUGCAGACAGCCCUGCUGUCAAUCUACUGCUGCAGUCACAGGUGGUAUGACCUGAGGAGAUGGAUUGAGGUGAAGAUGUGACAUAGGUCAUGGCUGGGCAGACAGCUUAGGAGGUUCUUCAACGCCAGAGACAUCCUGGACCCAGGCCUCAUCGCGGAUUUCCAACGCCAACACCCCGGUCAACCAGGUCGUCUUGUUCAUCAAGUCAACCAGCGUUUUUUUUUCUCAGCUCCUGCUUUCCCCAGUCUCUCUUUUCCUUGCCCUCCUGGUUUUGACCCUUGCCUGUCCUGUUUCUGAGCCCGUCUGCCUGACCACUCUGCCUGCCCCUGAGCCUGCCUGCCAUCCUGUAACUUUGCCCCAUCUCUGGAUUACCUACUUCUGUCUGACCCUGAGCUGGUCUGCCAUCCUGUACCUUUGUACCUACCUUCAAACCUGAUACCAAGAGCAUUGAGCAUGACUAAAACAGAAGAACCAUAUCUCCACCUUAAAACAAUCCUUGCAGCUUGUUUCUGUUCAAUCUGCAGCCUCCUAAUUUCACUUGCUGAUGCAUUUCCCCAGAACACAGAACAAUAGUUCACCUGACUCCCAAUUAAUGCUUGGGUUGUUCUCUUAAGAAUCUUUCCCGGUAAAUAUUUAGCUAUCCUUCUGAUCAUGCAUGCAUGUAAUAUAUAUAUAUUUUUACAUAGAUUAGUUAUUUGAGACACUGCACCCCUAGUAGUUUGGUUUCUGCUACUUCCUCAAUUUUUACUCCCCUCGUACUUAAUUGUAUCCCAUGCUGUGUUGACCUUUUCCUGGUAGAACAGACGAACAUAACCUUGGUUUUCUUGGUGUUCAAAACAGGUUUGUUCCGG